Molecule: ribosomal RNA, 301 nt
Filed under: uncultured bacterium
Lineage: Bacteria
Description: partial 16S ribosomal RNA
Rfam family: Bacterial small subunit ribosomal RNA
Source: RNAcentral
CAGUCGCCACGGGAAUACGAAGGGUGCAAGCGUUAAUCGGAAUUACUGGGCGUAAAACGUCUGUAGGUGGAUUUUCAAGUCCACCAUCAAAUCCCAGGGCUCAGCCCUAGAUAGGCAGUGGAAACUACCAAGAUGGAGUACGGUAGGGGCAGAGGGAAUCUUCGUGGAGCGGUGAAAUGCAUUGAGAUUGGAAAGAACAACAACGGCUAAAGCACUCUGCUGGGCCGACACAGACACUGAGAGACAAAAGCUAGGGGAGAAAAUGGGAUUAGAUACCCGCGUAGUCCCUGUCUCUUAUACA